UUCAUUUUGAAAAUAGGCAUUG
Molecule: microRNA, 22 nt
Filed under: Phaseolus vulgaris (common bean)
Lineage: Eukaryota; Viridiplantae; Streptophyta; Magnoliopsida; Fabales; Fabaceae
Description: pvu-miR1514a
Source: miRBase by way of RNAcentral